CCAAUAGCGUAUAUUAAAGUUGUUGCAGUUAAAAAGCUCGUAGUUGAAUUUCGGGGUUAGUAGGUUGGUCAUGCCUCUGGUAUGUACUGGUCUCACUGAUUCCUCCUUCCUGAUGAACCUUAAUGCCAUUAAUUUGGUGUUUUGGGGAAUUUGGACUGUUACUUUGAAAAAAUUAGAGUGUUUAAAGCAAGCUAACGCUUGAAUACAUUAGCAGGGAAUAAUGAAAUAGGACGUUCGAUCCUAUUUUGUUGGUUUCUAGGAUUGACGUAAUGAUUAAUAGGGAUAGUUGGGGGCAUUAGUAUUCAAUUGUCAGAGGUGAAAUUCUUGGAUUUAUUGAAGACUAACUACUGCGAAAGCAUUUGCCAAGGAUGUUUUCAUUAAUCAAGAACGAAAGUUAGGGGAUCGAAGACGAUCAGAUACCGUCGUAGUCUUAACCAUAAACUAUGCCGACUAGGGAUCGGAUGAUGUUAAUUUUUUAAUGACUCAUUCGGCGCCUUACG
RNAcentral lists this ribosomal RNA (500 nucleotides) under uncultured Glomeromycotina. RNAcentral describes it as "partial small subunit ribosomal RNA". It matches the Rfam family "Eukaryotic small subunit ribosomal RNA", at positions 591 to 1092 of the family's 1831-position model. Lineage: Eukaryota; Fungi; Glomeromycota. The record is from RNAcentral.